GAAAGUAUGAUGAAUUCUAGACAAUGGAGCAUCAAUCAUCACACUGAAGACUAAGAUCUGGGUCAAAUCCAAUUAUUUGUAGUGGGUAAGAGGGCUGCAAACUGUGAGAAGCAUGGAGAACCUUUAUUACCUUGGAGUUACAGGAUAAGCAGAUGUUUUCUGCUCAGUUUAAAAUGAAUGGACAAAUAAGGAAUAGAUCCCCUUGUUAUCUUGAGAUAGACAACUUGCUGCAGAGCAAAAACUGUAUGGAAUAGACACACACAGACCAACAAAAAACAAAAGCAGCAACAUAUAUUAAAAAUGCUAGAUAAACAUCCACAAAAAUCCCCCUAAAAUUUUAUCUAUAGGACAAAGCAAAACUCAAUUAUUUGAUGGAAAAUAAAUCACAGAAUAUGUUCUUUGCUGUAAAUGAUGGUACUGCUAAAUGUUUUUUUUUUUCAAAGUAAAAUAAGCUAUUUAUCUUUUUUUCUUUUUUUUUUUUUUUCCCACUACCACCAGCAAACUUUUUCUGUGUGAAGUCUGAGUUAAUUCAAAUUCAGUUCGUUGGCAAAAACUUCAUAUUCCAUACUCCACCAGUAGAAUCAACCUGAAUAAAGACAAGAAAUAAAAGGAUUUCUUGCUAGUUAUGAAUAUGAACUUUAUUAUGCAAUUUCAAGAUGAAGACAGCUCAAAUUUGUUGCUAUCUCCAAUUGUUACAGAAAACUGGCUAAGCGAAGCAUACUUUCCUUCACAUUGCAAAAUCAUCAACAGACCUUCUAGGAGGUGGGCAACUUCAUGUUUAAACUGCUUAUUGUUGGCACAUAUGAAGACCAUUCGCGUUAGAAAAUAAUGGAAAUAAGAAGAUUACAAGAACAGUUAUUCCCAUAUAAAUAUACACAAAACAUUAUGUACUCCCAAAUUAGGACUUGUUCAGAGAUAAUUCAUAUUAAUUCAUUAAUCCAUCUGUAGUUUUCUCUUUUGGUCUUUCACAGUUCUAAUGAAAUGAACAAUGGGUGUUUUACACAAUGUUAUCUCAAAAACACAUUGCCACUUACAGUUUCUUUCUUUGAGCUUUUGGAAUUUUUAAGCCUCUCUCUCUCUCUGUCUCUCUCACGUUCCUCCCUCCCCCCCAUUUUCUUGAUAUUAGCAUCUAACCCCAAUGGAGCAGCGUCUGAAGUCUAGUGGGAUCUCCAGGACUGUGUCCCAUGGCACAAGCCACCUCAAUUUACAGAACAGAUUUGUGUCCUAAGGAAAACAGUAAGUUUGAGGUUUAGGUAUUGACUUCCAGGUGUCUACAGGUACACUAGAUGUUUUAACUCUUAUUAAGUGAGAAUCUAGUCAAUGCAGUCAGUGAAAAUCUAGUCAAUGCAGUCAGGAAAUUCAAAAGUUCAAUUAAAUGAGCAUCCAAGAGCUGGUUAACCAAAUCUCUCUGCAGGCUCCACAGGCCAUAUUGACCAGACUUCCACUGACUAUAAUAAUGGGACCUUCCAUACAUAAAGACACCUAAAUUCACAUUUUGAUAUAGAACUGAAUCAUGGCCAUAAUCUAUAAAUAAAAUUUCUGUGUGACACUGAAAACUGCA
Molecule: long non-coding RNA, 1561 nt
Filed under: Anser cygnoides (Swan goose)
Lineage: Eukaryota; Metazoa; Chordata; Aves; Anseriformes; Anatidae
Description: lncRNA (ENSACDG00005017727.1)
Source: RNAcentral